This is a long non-coding RNA of Mizuhopecten yessoensis (Yesso scallop), 482 nucleotides long. RefSeq lists it as uncharacterized. Lineage: Eukaryota; Metazoa; Mollusca; Bivalvia; Pectinida; Pectinidae. The record is from RefSeq and is a predicted model, not a curated record. The transcript is spliced from 3 exons.
ACGGGUUAUAUAGAACUAGGCUUCAGGUAGGUACAGGUUAUAUAGAACUAGGCUUCAGGUAGGUACGGGUUAUAUAUAACUAGGCUUCAGGUUGGUACGGGUUAUAUAGAACUAGGCUUUAGGUAGGUACGGGUUAUAUAGAACUAGGCUCCAGGUAGGUACGGGUUAUAUAGAACUAGGCUUUAGGUAGGUACGGGUUAUAUAGAACUAGGCUCCAGGUAGGUACGGGUUAUAUAGAACUAGGAUUCAGGUAGAUACGGGUUAUAUAGAACUAGGCUUCAGGUAUGUAUAUGUUACAUAAGCUACGCUUCAGGUAUGCACAUGUUAUAUAGAACUAGCCUUCAGGUAUGUACAUGUUAUAUAGAACUAGGCUUCAGGUAGGUAUGUACAUGUUACAUAGAACUAGUCUUCAGGUAGGUACGGGUUAUAUAGAACUAGACUUCAGGUAGGUACGGGCUAUAUAGAACUAGGCUUCAGGUAGA